CACAGAGGGAGCUGAGCUUAUUGAUUCUGUGCUGGACGUUGUUAGGAAGGAGGCGGAGAGCUGCGAUUGCUUGCAAGGUAUGAUCAAAUCCAAACGGUUUCCAUCUUUCUUUGAAGACUAUUGAAACACUUUGACUAUCUGUCUUUUUGUCUCCAAUCGUGCCUUUUUUUGUAUUAUCACUGUAUUCUGAUCUAACUUUGGUUUCUGUUUACUUCCGAAGCUAUACUAUCUAUAAGAGUUUCUUUCAUGCCUGCACAAUGCUUGUCUUUUCUUCCAGCUUAAAAUUUUGAAGCUCUUUCUUCGAAUGCAUAUACUGUGCAUUCGUUCACCAGUAUACAAGUCCUGACAUAUGUUAAAGGAAAUAUGUGCCCAUCUUGGUCUCGUCUAUUGAUGAUUAUUCUGUGCCUUCGCUUAUGUACUCGAAAGGGACUGUACCUUCCGUUUUUGCUUUCCUUCCCAUCUGUACUGCUGGUUGAGUUUGGGUUCAGGACAUAUUACUGUUUCCCUCAGACCGAUACUCUUACGCAAUGAACACCACGAGUAACAGUGUGUGGCUGUUGCAUCCGCAGCACUAAGAUAAAAUUGGGUUCUUGAUACCAUUUUAGUGACUUCGCCUCUUUUCUAUGUCGCAGGUUUUCAGGUAUGCCAUUCUCUUGGAGGAGGAACUGGUUCAGGAAUGGGAACACUCUUGAUUUCAAAAAUCAGGGAAGAGUAUCCAGAUAGAAUGAUGCUUACAUUCUCUGUCUUUCCUUCCCCCAAGGUUUCAGAUACCGUGGUUGAGCCAUAUAAUGCCACAUUGUCCGUCCAUCAACUUGUUGAAAAUGCAGAUCAAUGUAUGGUGCUCGACAACGAGGCUCUUUAUGACAUCUGCUUCCGGACUUUAAAGCUAACAACUCCAACUUGUAAGAACUCUUUGCGAAGUCCAUCACAUCUUGUGUGAAAUGAAUGUGAACUUGCAAGCAUAUACACUCAUGUUUCAAAUCGGACAGUUCCUCACCCCGAGGAGUUGGAAGCGUUUCCUGGAGGUGAAAAUCUGGUUUUGUAGUUACUCAUGGUCAAUCUGUUGGUUGGGUAAACGAACUGAUUUGGUGGUGGGUUCUGUUCUACAGUUGGAGAUUUGAACCACCUGAUUUCUGCAACUAUGAGCGGUGUGACUUGUUGUCUACGAUUUCCUGGGCAGUUGAAUUCUGAUUUGCGCAAACUCGCCGUCAAUCUUAUUCCCUUCCCAAGGCUGCACUUCUUUAUGGUUGGAUUCGCUCCCCUAACAUCUAGAGGAUCACAACAAUACAGAUCUUUGACAGUCCCGGAACUUACACAACAGAUGUGGGACGCCAAGAACAUGAUGUGUGCUGCGGAUCCCCGUCACGGACGCUACUUGACAGCCUCAGCUAUGUUCAGAGGUCGGAUGA
This 1409-nucleotide long non-coding RNA is filed under the name Physcomitrium patens. RNAcentral describes it as "long non-coding RNA (PPAT_LNC001442)". The record is from RNAcentral. Lineage: Eukaryota; Viridiplantae; Streptophyta; Bryopsida; Funariales; Funariaceae.